RNAcentral lists this long non-coding RNA (1058 nucleotides) under Chrysemys picta bellii (western painted turtle). Its description in RNAcentral is "lncRNA (ENSCPBG00000002479.1)". Lineage: Eukaryota; Metazoa; Chordata; Testudines; Emydidae. The record is from RNAcentral.
GAGAUGCCUUGUGCUUGUGUGAACAGUGCAGAUAACUUCUGCUAUGUUUGUGAUGACAUGACUUUUGCAUCACAAAAGUGCAGUAUAGCCACUAUGGUUAAGAAAGCCUAUCACCUUUAUUUUGGCUGCAAAAUUGGAGAGCAGUACAAGAGGUGGGCCCCACACAUAUGCUGCAACACUUGUGCAACAAAUCUUCGCCAGUGGUUGAACAGGAAAAGGAAAUCAAUGCCUUUUGCAGUGCCAAUGAUUUGGCGAGAGCCAACAGAUCAUACCAGCAAUUGUUACUUCUGCAUGGUGCCUCCAGUUGGGAAAGGUGUGUCAAAGAAGAAAAAGUGGACUGUGCAUUAUCCAAACAUUCCAUCAGCUAUACGCCCAGUAUCCCACAGAGAAGGACUGCUGGUUCCUCAUGCACCAGAAUCAUUCUCACUUGAGUCAGACGAGGAAGAGGAAAAGGGUGAAACUUCUGGUCUUGAACCAUCAAUGUCACAGGACCCACAUUUUCUCCCAUCCUCCUCCUCUGAACCACACCUCAUAACACAAGGUGAACUGAAUGACCUUGUCAGGGAUUUGAAACUACCCAAGAGUAAGGCAGAGCUGUUGGGCUCCAGACUACAGCAGUGGAAUCCCCUAGCAGGUGAUGUUAGGGUUUCCAUGUUCCAUGACCGUCAAAAGGAUUUUGUCCCAUUCUUCUUCAUGAAAGGUGAACUUGUAGCCUGCAACAACAUCGAUGGUGUGAUGGCAGCCCUCAACAUCAUUCACGAUCCAGAUGAGUGGAGACUGUUCAUUGAUUCAUCGAAGACGAGUCUUAAAGCUAUUUUACUGCAUAAUGGCAAUGUUUUGCCAUCAAUUCCAGUUGGUCAUGCAGUCCAUAUGAAGGAAACCUAUGACAACAUGAAACAACUUUUGAGGUGCAUAAACUAUGACCAACAUCACUGGCAGCUUUGUGGUGAUUUGAAGGUUGUUGCUCUCUUGCUUGGUCUGCAGACUGGAUACACAAAGUUCUGCUGUUUUCUCUGCGAAUGGGAUAGUCGUGCAAGAGAUUCCCACUACAUCAAGAA